GUGAGGAAUUUUCCGCAAUGGGCGAAAGCCUGACGGAGCAAUGCCGCGUGAAGGAUGAAGGCCUAUGGGUUGUAAACUUCUUUUCUUAGAGAAGAAUAUUGACGGUAUCUGAGGAAUAAGCAUCGGCUAACUCUGUGCCAGCAGCCGCGGUAAGACAGAGGAUGCAAGCGUUAUCCGGAAUGAUUGGGCGUAAAGCGUCUGUAGGUGGCUUCAAAAGUCUCCUGUCAAAGAUCAGGGCUUAACCCUGGGCCGGCAGGAGAAACUCUGAGGCUAGAGUUUGGUAGGGGCAGAGGGAAUUCCCGGUGGAGCGGUGAAAUGCGUAGAGAUCAGGAGGAACACCAAAGGCGAAAGCACUCUGCUGGGCCACAACUGACACUGAGAGACGAAAGCGAGGGGAGCAAAAGGGAUUAGAAACCCCAGUGGUCC
RNAcentral lists this ribosomal RNA (426 nucleotides) under uncultured bacterium. Its description in RNAcentral is "partial 16S ribosomal RNA". It matches the Rfam family "Bacterial small subunit ribosomal RNA", at positions 354 to 796 of the family's 1533-position model. The record is from RNAcentral.